UAAGGAAUAUUGCUCAAUGGGAGAAAUCCUGAAGCAGCAACGCCGCGUGGAGGAUGAAGGGUCUAUGACUUGUAAACUCCUGUAAAGAAGGAAAAAAUUCCCAUUAGAUGGGAGAUGAUGGUACUUCUGGAGUAAGCCCCGGCUAACUACGUGCCAGCAGCCGCGGUAAUACGUAGGGGGCAAGCGUUGUCCGGAUCUACUGGGUGUAAAGGGUGCUCAGGCGGAUUUGUAAGUCAGAGGUGAAAUCUUACAGCUUAACUGUGAAACUGCCUUUGAUACUGCAAGCCUAGAGUAUGGAAGAGAGUGAUGGAAUAUCUGGUGUAGCAGUGAAAUGCGUAGAUAUCAGAUAGAACACCAAUGGCGAAGGCAGUCACUUGGUCCAUUACUGACGCUAAAGCACGAAAGCGUGGGUAGCAAACA
Molecule: ribosomal RNA, 420 nt
Filed under: uncultured bacterium
Lineage: Bacteria
Description: bacterial SSU rRNA
Rfam family: Bacterial small subunit ribosomal RNA
Source: RNAcentral